Molecule: long non-coding RNA, 392 nt
Organism: Perca flavescens (yellow perch)
Lineage: Eukaryota; Metazoa; Chordata; Actinopteri; Perciformes; Percidae
Exons: 4
Source: RefSeq, a predicted model, not a curated record
GUGCCUGUGGUGCGGGCUAGCGCGGUCACGGUGGAGUUCAGUCAGUUGGUUGAGCCCUCAAUAUGGCUUCUGGCAACGACAGGGGAGCGGCAGUUCCCGAGUAUGUUUAAUACUGAUCAGCCAAGAGGAAAACGACGAUUCUCGACCCCUGCCCCUUGCAUUGUGAAAAGGACAGACUUUCAUAUGUAUGUCCUUUCGGAACCCAGUCAGUUCACACCAAAGGCCUCAGAAGAGCUAGAACUUGCCCAUGCUGGCCUUGGGAAGAGGAUGCUAAGUAUACCAGACCACUUGAAACACGAUGAGAUUGUAGCUCUACUUGAGGAGGAAUUUCCUAAACUGAAGACCUUACAAGGAGGUUGGAUGUUUUUCAAGUCUACAGGUGGUAGCGGACG